Molecule: ribosomal RNA, 321 nt
Filed under: uncultured Chloroflexota bacterium
Lineage: Bacteria; Bacillati; Chloroflexota
Description: bacterial SSU rRNA
Rfam family: Bacterial small subunit ribosomal RNA
Source: RNAcentral
GAUGAACGCUGGCGGCGUGCCUAAUACAUGCAAGUCGGACGGAGAGAUAGCAAUAUCACUUAGUGGCGAACGGGUGAGUAACGCGUUGGUGACCUGCCCCGAAGACAGGGAUAACAGCUCGAAAGGGCUGCUAAUACCGGAUGUGAUCAUGAGGAUUAGAUGCCUGAUGAUUAAAGGAGAAAUUCACUUUGGGAGGGAUCUGCGUCCCAUCAGCUAGUUGGUGAGGUAACGGCUCACCAAGGCUAUGACGGGUAGGGGACCUGAGAGGGUCGGCCCCCCACAAUGGUACUGAAACACGGACCAUACACCUACGGGAGGCUG